GUAUCAAUAAGCAGAGGAAAAGAAACUAACAAGGAUUCCCCUAGUAACUGCAAGUGAAGCAGGAAAAGCUCAAAUUUAAAAUCUGGUGGUCUUUGGCCAUCCAAGUUGUAAUUUAGAGAAGUGUCUUCCGUGCUGGACCAUGCAUAAGUCUCCUGGAAUGGAGCAUCAUAGAGGGUGAGAAUCCUGUCUUUGGCACAGAUCCCAGGGCUUCUGUGAUGUGCUCUCAAAGAGUCAAGUUGUUUGGGAAUGCAGCUCAAAAUGGGCGGUGAACUCUAUCUAAAGCUAAAUAUUGGCGAGAGACCGAUAGCGCACAAGUA
This 317-nucleotide ribosomal RNA is filed under the name uncultured eukaryote. RNAcentral's name for it is "partial large subunit ribosomal RNA". It matches the Rfam family "Eukaryotic large subunit ribosomal RNA", at positions 40 to 350 of the family's 3401-position model. The record is from RNAcentral.